UCGGUGACAGGUGGUGCAUGGUUGUCGGUCAGCUCGUGUCGUGAGAUGUUGGGUUAAGUCCGCAACGAGCGCAACCCCUAUUGUUAGUUGCCAUCAUUCAGUUGGGCACUCUAGCGAGACUGCCGGUAAUAAACCGGAGGAAGGUGGGGAUGACGUCAAAUCAUCAUGCCCCUUAUGACCUGGGCUACACGCGUGCUACAAUGGUUGGUACAACGAGUUGCGAGUCGGUGACGGCGAGCUAAUCUCUUAAAGCCAAUCUCAGUUCGGAUUGUAGGCUGCAACUCGCCUACAUGAAGUCGGAAUCGCUAGUAAUCGCGGAUCAGCACGCCGCGGUGAAUACGUUUCCGGGCCUU
RNAcentral lists this ribosomal RNA (353 nucleotides) under uncultured Streptococcus sp. Its description in RNAcentral is "bacterial SSU rRNA". It matches the Rfam family "Bacterial small subunit ribosomal RNA", at positions 1028 to 1382 of the family's 1533-position model. The record is from RNAcentral. Lineage: Bacteria; Bacillati; Bacillota; Bacilli; Lactobacillales; Streptococcaceae.